This 86-nucleotide transfer RNA is filed under the name Crassvirales sp. Its description in RNAcentral is "tRNA-Leu". It matches the Rfam family "tRNA". Rfam says of the family: Transfer RNA (tRNA) molecules are approximately 80 nucleotides in length. The record is from RNAcentral. Lineage: Duplodnaviria; Heunggongvirae; Uroviricota; Caudoviricetes; Crassvirales.
GCCUCCAUGUUGGAAUAGGUAGACAAGACAGACUUAAAAUCUGUUAACCAGUAAUGGUUGUGUGGGUUCAAGUCCCAUUGGAGGUA